UGAACAUUUUUUUUUCUUUUGUCAUUUCUUUUGAUAUGGCUGUAAAUGUUUUAAUUAUAUAUUAACUAUAAGCUUGUAUUGCAACUUAAUGAACCAGGGGGAAAAUGUGUUUAUAAUCCCUUAUUUAAUUAUGGUACUUGAUUAAGGUUUGCUUAAGCAUUGCUCAUUUAAAAAAAAUAAUUUUAUUGCAGUAGAACUGAUGACUUCAAAAAUAGAUUUUUAAAAUAGUCUAUAUGUAGAGAUGGUAUAAAAUGAAAAGCUAAAUACUUCAUAAACUGAAGUAUCACCAUCUUGAAUAUCAAGGAAAGGACACACCUUGGAGACUGGUCUGAAGUGCAGGGCAAAAAUCAGGCUCUUGGGACUUCCCUAGUUGUGCAGUGGUUAAGAAUCCACCUGCCAUUGCAGGGGCACAGGUUCGAUCCCACAUGCCAUGGAGCAACUAAGCCCAUAUGCCACAACUACUGAGCCCGCGCGCUACAACUACUGAAGCCUGCACACUGUAGAGCCCAUGCACCACAACUAGUGAGCCCACACACUGCAACUACCGAAGCCUGCGUGCCUGGAGUCCAUGCUCCGCAGCAAGAGAAGCCACCGCAAUGAGAAGCCUGCACGCUGUAACGAAGAGUAGCCCCCGCUCACCUCAACUAGAGAAAGCCCGCGUGCAGCAAUGAAGACCCAACGUGGCCAAAAAAAAAAAAAAAAAAAAUCAGCCUCUUAAGCGUUAAAUCUAUAAAACAGAAACCGUAAGGCAACAGCUUUGUGGCAGUGUUAAAAUUAGGUAAGCUUGCUAAGGUCAGUAAGUAGAAAUUCUCAUCUAUUAAUGCAAAUUAUAAUACUGUAGGAAUACUCAGCUGGCCAGAUACCUGAAGCAUGUCGAAGGAAGGACUCUAAUAAAAACUAAACACCUUAUGUUUAUAUGGCACUCUUAAGAUUUUCAAACAUCUUUCAUUUACAUUAAUCUGAUUUGAUCGUUGCAAACUACCCCAUACUGCAGGAAGGCCAGAUAUCAUUCUUCCCCUUGAGACUCACAGAGGUUCUAGGUUAUAUGGCUGCAAAGUGGCAGGAAAGAGACCAGACCAGAUGGGCUUUCUUCUGCAUCAUAAUCAGUCCAGCUUCUUUGUUGGGUGCCUGGGAUGCACAGCCAGGGUACAGGGGUGGGUGGAGGAGAACAGUGGACAAAACACAAAUCAUGGCCAUUCUUUCUAACUGGCCCACCUCAAAGAAAACUAGAGUCAGUUCAAAAUGGCAUUGCCUAUUUUGAUUUUGAGACUUGGCAUCAUAUAAAUGUGCAGGCCUGCCCAGAACUGGUAAAGGCAGAAGAAAAAAAGAGAAGGAAUGAACACUUCAACACAAUUUACAGGCUACUGCCUUUCUCACCAGCAAAAAAAGUCUCCCAAGUCUGGAGGAAUGGAAGUGGAGGAGGGUGAGGGAAGGAGCGCCACUGGUGACAGGUUUUAUCCCAAGAGAAGGGAAUCACACCCUUGGAGCUGUGAAAAAUGAAUCAUGUCUUUUCUAUCAAGACUUCACACAGAUUUUCUGGGAAACUUGUCAUUGAGGAUACAAUAGAGACAACUGUCCUUUUUGGUAGUGUAGCAUUUUCUGGAGGGAACUGUGUAAAUCAUUCUGGGGAUUAAACAGCAAAUUAAAAUGAAGAUUAAAGGUGUGUCCUGUGGCUUUUGUGGGCUGUGUUCACCUUUUCUGGAGGUCAGUACAUCCAUCUAAUUGAAAGAGAAAAUGUCACAUUUAGUUGCAAGAGUGUAAAGGGGUGACGUUUCUCGUCCCACCUUUCAUGCUAGGAUCAAGGUCUUCUCUUCAAAAGAGCAGUAAAGAGCAUCUAUGCAGCACCUUUCGGUUUACAAGGCACUUCCAUGGGCAUCGUUAUACUUAAGCGUCACUAAAGCAGAUUUAUGGGGCCUGUCUUCUAGGUGAGAUAGCUUAAGGCCACAGCUGAGGGCACACAUUAGUGGGCUUCUAGCUCAAAGCCUACACUCCACUUCAUCACAAGGUGGAUCCACUCAGUCUGUAGACAGGGGCAGAGUGAUUGAUGUGCUUUCUUGUUGGCACCACGUUAAGAAGAUGAACAACCAUCUCAAUUUGCCUGAGACUGAAGCGUUUUCCAGGACAUGGGACAGUCCUGGGCAAAUUGGGACAACUGGUCACCUUACAUAUUAUGUCUCCAGAAGUCCUCAUAGGAGAUUCUUCAAGAGUCACAAUGAGUGCUAAGAUGUUUUAGGAGGACACAGCUAUAUAUGCAUGGGAUUGGCAUAUCAUUUCCUCCUACUCAAUAUUUGCAAGCAUUUUAAAAUUUAACAUUUUGCUGUUCUCCGAAGAUCGUCAUUUUGACCACUUUUUCUCCCUCAUUUUUUCUUCCUUGUUGUCUCAGAUCCCAAGGGGUGUAUGGGGAGGAGGGAUGGAAACAGGGAAAAAGUAAGUAAAGAAAGACAUUGGCUCCCAUUUUUAAAAUGUGGUUUUGGUUACAGUUUGUUGAGGACUAAUUUGUAAUAGUAAUUCUCAAACUUGAAUAUGUUGGUAGACAGCCUCUAAGACGGUCCCCAGUGAUUCCUGCAUCUUGGUGUGGAUGAUCUUGUGUAAUUCUCUUCCCUUGAGUUUACUGUGGAUUUGGAUUUGUCUUGCGGAGUCUGUGUGUGUGUGUGUCUGUCUGUCUGUCUGUCUCUCUCUCUCUCUCUCACCCCUAGCUCUGGGAAAAGCCAGCAGCCCAUGUGGUGAAGAACUGAGGUUUCCAGCUAAUAGCCAGAAAGGACCUGAGCUUGGCAGCAGAUUCUCCAGCACCAGUGCAGUCUAGAGAUGUUUGCAGCCUGAACCAACACCUUGAUUUCAGCAUCACGAGAGACGCUUAGCCAGAAUCACAAAGCUAAAUCAAUCCCAAAUUCCUGACCCAUAUGAACUGUGAGAUAAUCAAUGUUGGUUGUUUUCAGCCUCUGUGUUUUAGGGAGAUUUGUGUGGAAGUGAUAAACUAGUACAAAUGUGCAUCAGAAUCACCUAGAUAACAACUCGAUAAAAUGUAUAUUUCUGGGUCUUACCCCUGGAAAUUUUAUUCAGUAGAUGUGGCCUGAAGUUUCUGCUUUUUCAUCAGGAAUCCCAGGAGACUCAGAACUGAACAAAUACCUGCUUGAGAGCACAUAGCAAGAAAAAACACUCCCUGUGAAGACUGUAAAGGGAGAUGAUGAAACUCAGGUCCAGACAGGUGAGGGCUUGCUCAGGAUCCCACCUCCUUUUCUGGAUCCCCCAGUCCUGCCACCAAGACACCACCACUGCUAUCACCACCACCACCAAGGCGGGCACCUAAACAUUUUGUAAAUGAAUGAAAGCGCUACAGUCCCGACUCCUGAGAGAAGAACUAAUAAUUAUGUACAAAGGCAAGUCUGGGUUUGAAAUUAAUGACUGUGGGAUUCUAAGAUGAUUUUGAGAUAAAGUGAAUAAUUUACAUUAAUUUGCAUUGCAGUAGACAACACUGCUUAGGAAUAACUGCUCUGUUGAAUUUAGGAGACAAAGAUCAAGUCUGUUAUUUUAGUUCAUGGCCUCGGGGAGCUUGGAUAGGGGACCGGGCAGCGAGGAGUUUGAAGGUUUUAAUGCUUACUGUGCAGAAAUAUGAUUUUUUCUGAAAUAGAUUAGCUUUUAAGGAUGUAGUAACAUUGGUUAAGUACUUGGUAUGUAUUUUGCCUGUGUUUACUUUUUUAAUCAUCAUGAAAACCUUAGGCAAUAGGUGCUAGAAUUAUGCCCAUUUUAUAGAUUAGAAAACUAAGACCAGAGAGUAACUUAUUCAAGGUCAAGUAGCUAAUAAAUGGCAUCACCAGUUCCAAACCUUGGAAUCUGGCUGCAGAGCCUUGCUCUUACCCACUAUAUUCUACUGCCUUGAGAGAGUUAAAGUACCAAACCCAAGACACCAGGAACUAUUUUGACAUUCCUUAUGAGCAUAUAGUUUUCAUCACAUUACUAUUCCAAGGUUAAAUGUAUGGAGCUGAAUCCUGUGGUCCCUAAUGCUCUCAUCCAGCUGCCUCCACCAUACUGUUGGUCUGGAAAUUCCCUGGAAACAUAGGUGGGGAUUUUUUUUAUAUAUAAUCUCCAGUAUUCACCCCUUACUUUACACUGCUGGAUGAAAAUCAGAACCCAGCUCUGCUUUUCAUUUCCACAAAUGGCUUAAGAGACCAGUACCAGGCUCAGUAGUAUAGAUUUUUCAAAAGGACACUUUACAUGAACCCAUCCCCAAGAACCCACCAAUACCAGCUUAAAAGGAGCAGGAUAUUUCAGUGAGGAGGCUAAUGAAGAGAUGCGAUGAGACCCAAUCUAUUCCAUUUUUUCCCUGGGGGUAUAAGGAGACACCUAGAUCUUAAUCUCCUUUCUCGUCAUUUUGAUUCAGAGAUGAUGGCACUAGGGCUUCUUAGAACAAGGUAAGUUACAUGAUAAGUCUUCAGAAAUCUAUAAUAAACUCAAUAGAAGUAAAUGCAUGGAGAAAGAGGCACUUACCAGUAAUUUAAUUUGAAUAAGUGAAUGCUUUGAUAUCCUUUUUACGCACAAGGAGGCAUACUACAUACUACACCUGCUAUACGCUCUAUACCCACUCCUCUGCACCUUUUACACUUAACGUGUCUCGUAGCACAUUCCUUAUUCAAUAUUAUCACUUAAAAAUUUACCUCAUUCUUUCUCAUGACGUCAUAAAAUUUCAUUUUUGGAUGUAUCAGAAUUUAUUUAACCAUCAUCUAUUAAAGAACAUUGUAAUUGCAUCUAAUUCUAUGCUCUUACAAAUAAUGCUGAAAGAAAUGUUUAUACACACGGGUGUAUUUUUGUUUUGGCUUGGUUUUGUUGUCAUUAUUAUCCAUGGGGCUGGGGUUGGGGGGGAAUCCUAGGAGUGGAACUGUUAGGUCAAAGGAUAUUUGUAUUUAAAUUUUAAUCACUGUUUCCAAAUUAUCCUACAAAAAGUUUGUACCAACUUGCUCUCAGUGAGAAGGAAUUUGAAAGGCUGGGUCUAGCACCCUUGUUACUUGACUAGACUUUCAUAUAAAAUACAGCUUUGCUGUGUGGUAUGACAGGUAAGUCAGAUGAUGGUGAAUAGUAAUAGGAAAUGGAAUGGGCUCAUUUAUCAAAAUAUUUUUAAUUGCUUAGUGGUCAGCAGGGUGGACCCCGGCAGUGACACUCUCAUGCAAAGAAGAAGGAUCAGGUGUGGUUUUCGUGUCUGGUAACUGGCAAGUGGUCACUAGUGCAGGAUAUUUACCAUAUUUCACUGGGACCUCCUAACACCAUACUCUUCUGUCUACACCCAGGUUGGUAAAGGGAAUAUAUAUGAUGCAAGCUUGUACACGUUCCUGAUUACAUCAGAUAAGCACAUAGAACUCAUCUCUAUAAAAUCCAUUCCUCUCUGAAAUGUACAUCUUUUUUUUUAACCAUUUUUUAAAUUGAAGUAUAGUUAAUUUACAAUGUUUGUUAGUUUCAGGUGUACAGCAAAGUGAUUCAGUGUAUAUAUAUAUAUAUAUAUAUAUAUAUAUAUAUACACACACAUACACACACACACACACACACACACACACACACACACACACAUAUAUAUUCUUUUCCAGAUCCUUUUCCAUUAUAGGUUAUUACAAGAUAUUGAAUACAGUUUCCUGUGCUAUAUAGUAGAUCCUUAUUGUUUAUCUAUUUUAUAUAUAGUAUUGUUUAUAUGUUAAUCACAAACUUCUAAUUAUCUCCCCCCUUUCCCUUUGAUAACCAUGUUUGUGUUCUAUGUCUGUGAGUCUAUUUCUAUUUCAUAAAUAAGUUCAUUUGUAUCAUUUUUUUUAGAUUCCACAUAUAAAUGAUAUCAUAUGUUUGUCUUUCUCUGUCUGACUUACUUCACUUAGUAUGAUACUCUCUAGGUCCAUCCAUGUUGCUGCAAAUGGCAUUAUUUCAUUCCUUUUUACGGCUGAGUAAUAUUCCAUUGUAUAUUUAUAUAUCACACCUUCUUUAUACGUUCAUCUGUUGAUGGAUAUUUAGGUUGCUUCCAUGUCUUGGCUAGUGUAAAUAGUGCUGCUGUGAACAUUGGGGUACAUGUAUCUUUUCAAAUUAGAGUUUUUCUCUGGAUAUAUGCCCAGGAGUGGGAUUGCUGGAUCAUACGGCAACUCCAUUUUCAGUUUUUUAAGGAAUCUCCAUACUGUUCCGUGUAAGUUCCAUCCUCAUCCUUCAUUACUAAGAAUGGUAACAAGUCACCUGCAUUACUAACCUAGUCUGCACCUCUCAGGGUACCAGCAGGUGGUGCCUAGCCUAAUCAAAACUCAUAUUUAGAUGCUAGAAAAUAAGUUUCCUGUUGCACCAGGCCCAGAGCAUUCUAUUACAAGAUAUGCUGAGUGUCUACCCCACAUCCACUCCUGGGCCAGGCACUGUGGGAGACAUGAAAGAAAUAGAAAGCGUUGGACCCAGGCAGAUUGUUGCAGAAAAGAGUAGUUGCAGAGAAUAGCUGGGAAGCUGUUUCUGCUAUUCAGGAAGGAGAUGGUAAAGGCCUGGACUAGGCAGCGCUGGCAAAAGCAGGAGAGAAGCAGCAGUUAGGGCGUCACCAAAGAAAGCAUAAAUCAGGCUGAGCAUCACUGCAGAGUGCAAAGAGCACGGGCUGGGUCUGAUCUCUACCUCACAGCUGCGUGGCCCCAAAUCGUUCUGAACCUCAGUUUUUCACCUGUGAAAUUAGAACAGUAACACCGUCCCCACCUCACUGGAUUAUUGAGAAGAACCAUGAGUUAGCAUCCAGCCCCUGGUCUAUCUCAUCGUGAGUUCAACGUGAUGGUGGGAUAGUCAUGCUGAUGGCUGGAAACCCAAGGGCUGAGAGCUGGCAACGGAGGACAGGAAGGCAGGAGGCCUGAGCUGGGAGAGGCCGGGGUCGUUCAGGCCGCAUGUGACUCUGAAUUCCUAGAAGAGGCUGCAGCAGCCGUGGCUAAGGUGAGCAAGCAAACCUGAGACUGCUGGGCUCAGGAAUGAAGGCCCUAAGGAUGAAGCUGACACAUCCCUGACCAGACCACGUGGAACCCAUGGAAAAUUAGACCUGAAGUUAACAGCACCCACGCCAGUCUCCUGGGUGCUUGGUUAGAGAUUUUCAUCCAUUUUUGAGUUGACAAGAGCAGGGAGACUGGUGUCAGAACCCACUGCUUCUGCUUCACUGUACAUCAGAGUGUGUCUGUGGGUCCCCUGGAUGGUUAAGUUCAUGGAAAUAGGUGUAUUUUAUUCGACUAUGUAUAUCAAACAGGUUUCCUGCUGAGCUAGAGCCAAAAACAGACAAAAAAAUCAUUCUAUUCACAUUUACUGAGUUCCUCCCAGAGGCCAAGGGCCUGACAGGCACAAGGCUCUCUGUGUUUGUAGAACUGGCAUUGAAGGAGGUCAUGGGAAACUGAGAGAGAGAAAGAAGUGACCAGACCAUCUGCCAGGAGCUUCUGGUGAUAAGCUGGCUGGCACGAGGCUGAAUCUUUUUUUUUUUUUUUUUUAACUUUUUGGCCAUACCGCGGGGCACGUGGGAUCUUAGUUCCUGGACAGGGACCGAACCUGCGCCCCCUACAGUGGAAGGGCAGAGUCUUAACUGCUGGACCGCCAGCGAAGUCCCAAGGCUGGAUCUUGAUUACACCACUGGUCUCAGAGCUGCAGAACGUUCCAUCAUGUGUGUGGAUAUAUUUAGUAGUAGUUUAUUCAACCAGUUUCCUAUUCAUGGCCACUAGGGUUGUAACUAGUCCUUUGCUGUUACAAGAGUGCAGCAGUGAACACACCUGUGCACGUUUUUCAUAUUUUGCCAGCAUGUCUUCGGGAGAGACUCCUAGGGUACUCCCCUGCUGCGGCCCCAUCCCCACGACUGUUCUGGUGCCCUCAGCCUGGGCAUGGGAUGCUGGAAUGCUAACUCCAGCCUCCACACCUCCUUUCCAUUCGAUUGAUUGGCCAGGCCGGUAGAAACAGCAACAGGAAGGCGGUCUCCCUUCAUUUUUGUCCGCCAGUCUCAUACCACAGCAUCUUACUGGGGGGAACGUGAUUCAUAACCAGAACUCUAGCUGGAAAGGAAUCUGAGAAGGGCAGUUUUCUGCUUUCUUGUCUCUACCGCACAGGACAGCUCGAAGAAGUGGGUUGGGUGCCAGUCACCACAUCCAGCUCCCCACUUAACUCCUUUGUUUCACAGAAGAGGAAAUUGAGGUUUGGGAGGGGUGUGUUAUUAGCUGAAGAUCACUAAACUGGUUCGUGGCUAACAGCCUGGCCAUUUCCUCCUCACGUCCCUGCCGAUGGGAGUCCUUGUGAGUUGGAGUUUCACUGAAUCAAAUAACUUAAAAAGGCAGAAGCCACUCCAUAUGCUAUGAACUUGUACUUUUCUUUGUAAAACAAAACAACCGUUACCCAAGCCUCCUUUUGGAGGUAUUAUAAUCAUUUAGCAACUGUUAUGGUUUGACUUGUGUCCCCCUAAAUUUAUAUGUUGAAGUCCUAACCCCCAGUUCCUUAGAAUGUGACCAACCAGUUUGGAAACCGGGUCUUUAAAGAGGUAAUUAAGUUAAAAUGAGGUCUUUAGGAUGGGCCCUAGUCCAACACAACUAGUGUCCUUAUAAAAAGAGAUCUGGCCACAGACAGGCAGAGGAAGAUGAUGUGAAGACACAGGGAGAAGGCGGUUGUCUGCAAGGCAAGGAGAGAGGCCUCAGAGGAAACCAACCCUGCCCGCACCUUGGCCUUGGACUUCUAGCCUCCAUUAUAGUGAGAAAAUAAAUUUCUGUUGUUUAAGCCA
Molecule: long non-coding RNA, 8725 nt
Organism: Orcinus orca (killer whale)
Lineage: Eukaryota; Metazoa; Chordata; Mammalia; Artiodactyla; Delphinidae
Exons: 5
Source: RefSeq, a predicted model, not a curated record